Molecule: small nucleolar RNA, 103 nt
Organism: Nycticebus coucang (slow loris)
Lineage: Eukaryota; Metazoa; Chordata; Mammalia; Primates; Lorisidae
Product: small nucleolar RNA U13
Exons: 1
Source: RefSeq, a predicted model, not a curated record
AUCCUUGUGUAGUUUCACAAACGUGGAAAUUGGGUGUUCCCUUGCAUGUGAGACGUGCUCCCCCCACCCUUGGUGUGACGCGAGCACAUUACCCAGUCGGACA